CCUACGGGAGGCAGCAGUAGGGAAUCUUCCACAAUGGGCGAAAGCCUGAUGGAGCAACGCCGCGUGGGUGAAGAAGGUCUUCGGAUCGUAAAACCCUGUUGUCAGAGAAGAAAGUGCGUGAGAGUAACUGUUCACGGUUCGACGGUAUCUAACCAGAAAGCCACGGCUAACUACGUGCCAGCAGCCGCGGUAAUACGUAGGUGGCAAGCGUUAUCCGGAUUUAUUGGGCGUAAAGGGAACGCAGGCGGUCUUUUAAGUCUGAUGUGAAAGCCUCCGGCUUAACCGGAGUAGUGCAUUGGAAACUGGGAGACUUGAGUGCAGAAGAGGAGAGUGGAAUUCCAUGUGUAGCGGUGAAAUGCGUAGAUAUAUGGAAGAACACCAGUGGCGAAAGCGGCUCUCUGGUCGGUAACUGACGCUGAGGUUCGAAAGCGUGGGUAGCAAACAGGAUUAGAUACCCCAGUAGUC
RNAcentral lists this ribosomal RNA (465 nucleotides) under uncultured bacterium. RNAcentral's name for it is "partial 16S ribosomal RNA". It matches the Rfam family "Bacterial small subunit ribosomal RNA", at positions 338 to 795 of the family's 1533-position model. The record is from RNAcentral.